This 446-nucleotide ribosomal RNA is filed under the name uncultured bacterium. Its description in RNAcentral is "bacterial SSU rRNA". It matches the Rfam family "Bacterial small subunit ribosomal RNA", at positions 936 to 1382 of the family's 1533-position model. The record is from RNAcentral.
AGCAUGUGGUUUAAUUCGACGCAACGCGAAGAACCUUUACCAGGGCUUGACAUCCCUUGAAGCAGCUAGAGAUAGCUGUGUCCUUCGGGACAAGGAGACAGGUGGUGCAUGGUUGUCGUCAGCUCGUGUCGUGAGAUGUUGGGUUAAGUCCCGCAACGAGCGCAACCCCUGUGGUUAGUUGCCAGCAAGUAGCGUUGGGCACUCUAGCCAGACUGCCGGUGAUAAAUCGGAGGAAGGUGGGGACGACGUCAAAUCAUCAUGCCCUUUAUGUCCUGGGCUACACACGUACUACAAUGGCCGUUACAACGGGAAGCGAAGGAGCAAUCCGGAGCAAAUCCCUUAAAGGCGGUCCCAGUUCAGAUUGUGGGCUGAAACUCGCCCACAUGAAGGCGGAAUUGCUAGUAAUUGCAGAUCAGCAUGCUGCGGUGAAUACGUUCCCGGGCCUU